GGCUACGAGGACGACGCUGGCGGCGUGCUUAACACAUGCAAGUCGAACGAUGAACCGGAGCUUGCUCCGGGGAUUAGUGGCGAACGGGUGAGUAACACGUGGGCAACCUGCCCCAGACACCGGGAUAACCUUCCGAAAGGAUGGCUAAUACCGGAUACGACCACUUCGGGCAUCCGACGGUGGUGGAAAGGAUUCUGGUCUGGGAUGGGCCCGCGGCCUAUCAGCUUGUUGGUGGGGUAAUGGCCUACCAAGGCGACGACGGGUAGCCGGCCUGAGAGGGCGACCGGCCACACUGGGACUGAGACACGGCCCAGACUCCUACGGGAGGCAGCAGUGGGGAAUAUUGCGCAAUGGGUGAAAGCCUGACGCAGCGACGCCGCGUGAGGGACGAAGGUCUUCGGAUUGUAAACCUCUUUCAGCAGGGACGAAGCGAAAGUGACUGUACCUGCAGAAGAAGCACCGGCUAACUACGUG
RNAcentral lists this ribosomal RNA (474 nucleotides) under uncultured bacterium. RNAcentral's name for it is "bacterial SSU rRNA". It matches the Rfam family "Bacterial small subunit ribosomal RNA", at positions 33 to 507 of the family's 1533-position model. The record is from RNAcentral.